Molecule: long non-coding RNA, 1041 nt
Filed under: Falco tinnunculus (common kestrel)
Lineage: Eukaryota; Metazoa; Chordata; Aves; Falconiformes; Falconidae
Description: lncRNA (ENSFTIG00000011872.1)
Source: RNAcentral
AGGGCAAUGGAAAAGAAAACCUUUCAUAACCUACCAUUAAGCAGUAACCAUACCAGUAUGUGUUAUAUCUUUUAAUAAGCUAAACAGUCAUAAUUCAGUGAAUCUCAGACCACAUGGCUGAAAUACCUGGAUAUUACCAAAUGUGAGGUGUCAUAAGAGAAAGAUGAAUCAGAAGGAACAUUAACAGUCACUGGUGAAACCUGUAAGGUCUUAAGCCAGAAUCUUCAAAAGUAAUUUGAUGCCCUAAUUGUAAUGGGAAUUGGCAGUAAGCUGUCCCAGAGCAAAAUGUAAGUUCUAGAAAGAAAAGAGAAGCAGAACUUUUAAAAUGUAAUGCAUAAUACAAAGCACAGAAGAGAUGCCCCAUAAUGAGAAACUUCAUGUUUGUUCUGCUUAAAGUGAAGACAGUCUCUUGUUUGCAUUGAAAACCUCUUUGCAAGUCACAGAGAUAAUCAAGUUAUCUCUAACCUAUUUAGAAUAGUUUAGAAAGAGGAUAAGUGAUCUUAUUUGUCUCUUUAGCUGGUAAGCCUAUGAAAAGACAUACAAAGGUUUUUUUUCUGAGUCUGGUGGCUAUCAAUGACUGUAUGUUACUGUAAUUAACCUUGGCAGGGAAGGGUGUGGUGUGAGAGGAUGUCUCCCCAACACAUUGGCUCUCCGAGGAGAAAAGGCAAAAGCUUUAAUUUAGGUUUAACCACCAGAUGUUGAAUCCAAGCGUAGAUCUAAACCGUGAGUUUUCUCCUGUAUUUUCUGCCACAUAUUGCCUCUGAUGCAUCUAGAGAUGGUUGAAAUUUUUCUCAUACAUAGGACAGGUACAAACCCUCAAAACAGAACUUAAGUGCAACUUUUCUAGUGAAGCAGCAGUGGAUUUCCACUGAGACCAGAGGACAAGUUUUGGUCAAUGCUUUCUGAGUUGCAGAAGGGUUGAGAAGUAUUUAAUCUACUAUGUUUCAGGCAGAACUUUGUGAUGAUGUGUGCAGCUAUGUAAAUACAAAGUGAUUACAAAUAAGAGAUCCACCUUUUGAGGUCUCACAAAAGGCAUGGAGU